AGAGUGAACGCUGGCGGUAGGCCUAACACAUGCAAGUCGAACGGCAGCACGGUAAGAGCUUGCUCUUAUGGGUGGCGAGUGGCGGACGGGUGAGGAAUACAUCGGAAUCUACCUUUUGGUGGGGGAUAACGUAGGGAAACUUACGCUAAUACCGCAUACGCCCUUCGGGGGAAAGCCGGGGACCAGCAAUGGCCUGGCGCUGAUAGAUGAGCCGAUGUCGGAUUAGCUAGUUGGUGAGGUAAUGGCUCACCAAGGCGACGAUCCGUAGCUGGUCUGAGAGGAUGAUCAGCCACACUGGAACUGAGACACGGUCCAGACUCCGUACGGGAGCAGCAGUGGGAAUAUUGGACAAGUGGGCGCAAGCCUGAUCCAGCCAAUACCGCGUGGUGAAGAAGGCCGUUCGGUUGUAACGGUCCUUUUGGUAGGAAAG
RNAcentral lists this ribosomal RNA (430 nucleotides) under uncultured soil bacterium. Its description in RNAcentral is "bacterial SSU rRNA". It matches the Rfam family "Bacterial small subunit ribosomal RNA", at positions 26 to 447 of the family's 1533-position model. The record is from RNAcentral.